GACUUUGUGGCCGAGCGGUCUAAGGCGCAACGUUAAGGCCGUUGUCUUAAUUGGCGGGGGUUCGAAUCCCCUCGAAGUCA
Molecule: transfer RNA, 80 nt
Organism: Fragilariopsis cylindrus CCMP1102
Lineage: Eukaryota; Bacillariophyta; Bacillariophyceae; Bacillariales; Bacillariaceae
Rfam family: tRNA
About the family: Transfer RNA (tRNA) molecules are approximately 80 nucleotides in length. Their secondary structure includes four short double-helical elements and three loops (D, anti-codon, and T loops). Further hydrogen bonds mediate the characteristic L-shaped molecular structure. tRNAs have two regions of fundamental functional importance: the anti-codon, which is responsible for specific mRNA codon recognition, and the 3' end, to which the tRNAs corresponding amino acid is attached (by aminoacyl-tRNA synthetases). tRNAs cope with the degeneracy of the genetic code in two manners: having more than one tRNA (with a specific anti-codon) for a particular amino acid; and 'wobble' base-pairing, i.e. permitting non-standard base-pairing at the 3rd anti-codon position.
Source: Rfam